Molecule: ribosomal RNA, 418 nt
Filed under: uncultured bacterium
Lineage: Bacteria
Description: bacterial SSU rRNA
Rfam family: Bacterial small subunit ribosomal RNA
Source: RNAcentral
AUUGAACGCUGGCGGCAUGCUUUACACAUGCAAGUCGAACGGCAGCACGGGUGCUUGCACCUGGUGGCGAGUGGCGGACGGGUGAGUAAUACAUCGGAACGUAUCCAGAAGAGGGGGAUAACGCAUCGAAAGAUGUGCUAAUACCGCAUAUUCUCUGAGGAGGAAAGCAGGGGAUCGAAAGACCUUGCGCUUUGGGAGCGGCCGAUGUCUGAUUAGCUAGUUGGUGGGGUAAAGGCCUACCAAGGCGACGAUCAGUAGUUGGUCUGAGAGGACGACCAGCCACACUGGGACUGAGACACGGCCCAGACUCCUACGGGAGGCAGCAGUGGGGAAUUUUGGACAAUGGGCGCAAGCCUGAUCCAGCAAUGCCGCGUGAGUGAAGAAGGCCUCGGUUGUAAGGACUCUUCUAGUCGAGAAG